Collybiopsis luxurians FD-317 M1 is the source of this 82-nucleotide non-coding RNA. The record is from the annotation of a GenBank genome assembly. NCBI's taxonomy places the organism in Eukaryota, Fungi, Basidiomycota, Agaricomycetes, Agaricales, Omphalotaceae.
GCCCGUAUGGUGAAAUGGUCCAGCAUCACUUGUGGUCGAUGCAUCAAGAAGGAUGCAAUGGGUUCAAUCCCCAUUAUGGGCA